This 31-nucleotide non-coding RNA is filed under the name Homo sapiens (human). The record is from RNAcentral. Lineage: Eukaryota; Metazoa; Chordata; Mammalia; Primates; Hominidae.
UAGAGCCAAAUCUUUUGUGGAAGCUGGGUGU